Molecule: transfer RNA, 73 nt
Filed under: Camelus bactrianus (Bactrian camel)
Lineage: Eukaryota; Metazoa; Chordata; Mammalia; Artiodactyla; Camelidae
Also listed under: 2 other names
Rfam family: tRNA
About the family: Transfer RNA (tRNA) molecules are approximately 80 nucleotides in length. Their secondary structure includes four short double-helical elements and three loops (D, anti-codon, and T loops).
Source: Rfam by way of RNAcentral
GGGAGUAUAGCCCAGCGGUAAGGUGUGUGCUUAGCAUGCAUGGAGGUCCUGGGUUUGAUCCCCAGCACCUCCA